GAUGAACGCUGGCGGCGUGCCUAAUACAUGCAAGUCGAGCGAACAGAUAAGGAGCUUGCUCCUUUGACGUUAGCGGCGGACGGGUGAGUAACACGUGGGUAACCUACCUAUAAGACUGGGAUAACUUCGGGAAACCGGAGCUAAUACCGGAUAACAUUUGGAACCGCAUGGUUCUAAAGUGAAAGAUGGUUUUGCUAUCACUUAUAGAUGGAUCCGCGCCGUAUUAGCUAGUUGGUAAGGUAACGGCUUACCAAGGCAACGAUACGUAGCCGACCUGAGAGGGUGGUCGGCCACACCAGAACGGAAACACGGUCCAGACCACAACGGUAGGCAGCAGUAGAGAAUCGACCGCUAUGGGCGGAAGCCUGACGGAGCAACGCCGCGUGAGUGAUGAAGGGUUUCGGCUCUGAAAACUCUGUUAUUAGGGAAGAACAAACGUGUAAGUAACUGGGCACGUCUUGACGGUACCUAAUCAGAAAGCCACGGCUAACUACGUG
This 497-nucleotide ribosomal RNA is filed under the name uncultured bacterium. Its description in RNAcentral is "partial 16S ribosomal RNA". It matches the Rfam family "Bacterial small subunit ribosomal RNA", at positions 28 to 507 of the family's 1533-position model. The record is from RNAcentral.